CUAAAGGCUCUUUUCAGAGCCACCCAACUCAUCUUAUUAAAGAGCUU
Molecule: non-coding RNA, 47 nt
Organism: Bos taurus (domestic cattle)
Lineage: Eukaryota; Metazoa; Chordata; Mammalia; Artiodactyla; Bovidae
Source: Rfam